This is a long non-coding RNA of Aricia agestis (brown argus), 167 nucleotides long. RefSeq lists it as uncharacterized. NCBI's taxonomy places the organism in Eukaryota, Metazoa, Arthropoda, Insecta, Lepidoptera, Lycaenidae. The transcript is spliced from 3 exons. The record is from RefSeq and is a predicted model, not a curated record.
CGAACAAACGGGUAUCGUGCUGAGAAAGAAAGGUGCGUUAUGAAGAUAGGAGUGUGGGAGAUAGACGGCUGGAUUUUCUAUAGCUACUUUUGUAGUCUAUUGUCACGUAAACAUAAUUUUAAGUCAAAUAAAUAGAUAAAAAUUCGAAAACUUCUGAUUUUAUACUU